UAAACCAUGAUCAUCUAGGUGGUUCUCCCAAAGUGAGGCCCUUCCAUUGCACUCCGGUUGGGUUGACCUUUGCGAUCGCCCCAAAUGUGGGCGACUCGGGUGCGCUAUUUCUAAGAGAUCUGCAGAGUGUCGUGAGGGAA
This 140-nucleotide small nuclear RNA is filed under the name Octopus sinensis (East Asian common octopus). Its description in RNAcentral is "uncharacterized LOC118766269". It matches the Rfam family "U1 spliceosomal RNA", at positions 20 to 166 of the family's 166-position model. From Rfam's summary of the family: U1 is a small nuclear RNA (snRNA) component of the spliceosome (involved in pre-mRNA splicing). Its 5' end forms complementary base pairs with the 5' splice junction, thus defining the 5' donor site of an intron. The record is from RNAcentral. Lineage: Eukaryota; Metazoa; Mollusca; Cephalopoda; Octopoda; Octopodidae.